GAUGAACGCUGGCGGCGUGCUUAACACAUGCAAGUCGAACGGAGCACCCUUGAAGGAGUUUUCGGACAACAGAGAGGACUGCUUAGUGGCGGACGGGUGAGUAACGCGUGAGGAACCUGCCUUGGAGCGUGGAAUAACACAUGGAAACGUGUGCUAAUACCGCAUAACAUAGUUGAACCGCAUGGUUCGACUAUCAAAGAUUUAUCGCUCUGAGAUGGCCUCGCGUCUGAUUAGCUAGUUGGUAGGGUAACGGCCUACCAAGGCGACGAUCAGUAGCCGGACUGAGAGGUUGACCGGCCACAUUGGGACUGAGACACGGCCCAGACUCCUACGGGAGGCAGCAGUGGGGAAUAUUGGGCAAUGGGCGCAAGCCUGACCCAGCAACGCCGCGUGAAGGAAGAAGGUUUUCGGAUUGUAAACUUCUUUUAUGAGGGACGAAACAAAUGACGGUACCUCAUGAAUAAGCCACGGCUAACUACGUGCCAGCCGCCGCCGUAACAC
Molecule: ribosomal RNA, 501 nt
Filed under: uncultured bacterium
Lineage: Bacteria
Description: bacterial SSU rRNA
Rfam family: Bacterial small subunit ribosomal RNA
Source: RNAcentral